Rattus norvegicus (Norway rat) is the source of this 1086-nucleotide non-coding RNA. Lineage: Eukaryota; Metazoa; Chordata; Mammalia; Rodentia; Muridae. The record is from RefSeq and is a predicted model, not a curated record.
ACAGCUGUGCAAAAAGGAACCAAGAAGGGAGUAGGGGGAGAAUGUGCUAAGAUUCAGGAAGGCGUUCAUCAAUACAGGCUUCAGUUUCUGGACAUAUAUGCCACUUAAGUAUUUCUCCCUUCUUCUCCAUCAUUCCAAUAGUAACAUUCCAGACUUAAUUCAGGUUUGCUUGGAAUGAGAGUUUAUCCUACUGCCUUCUAUAACAGAGAGAAGGUCUUAUGCUGUAAAAUUGUACUGAGGACUCUGGAUACUUCAGGUCUUUAAUUCUCCCCAAAGGGGUGUACUGCAUUUCCAGUUAAUGGGGUAGAGUGGGGUGGGGAAGAGCCACAAGAAAAGAAUUUAAUAUCCUGAGGCCGCAGCAUUUUAGUGACUCAAUAUUCACAGGAUUGUGGAAGCCCAGAACCAGGACCAUGCAUUUUCUGUAAAGGACAGAACAGCCAAGUGGUUGUGGAUUCAUUAAUUACAAUGUUUGGGAUGCUCUGAACUCAUUUCAUAAAUUAAGAAAAGUUUACAACGCUGAUUCCUUGAUAAAGAAUGGAAGAAAAUAUAGCUACUCUCCCGAAGACUAAUAAAAUUGCAACCACAAUAAUCACUGGCAAGUUCACAAGACAGCCAUCAACUUCCAGAUUACCACAGAGAGUCAUUCAAUGGAGACAUUGAAUCAGCCGUGCUGUCUCUUAAACAGUUCAGUGAGUCUGAUGACUGCUGUGUUCCUUAACUUUUAAGAGAUAGAUUUUUACUAACUUUUGAGAGCAUGAGAAAAAAACUGGUAGAGAGAUUUGAGGAGUUAGUGGCAUGGAACUGAGAGGCAGUGAAGGAACUGGCACUUCCUGUCUUACCUUUAAGCCUUCAUAUCAGAAUAACAGUCCUUGGCAAAGAAUCUUGAGUUAAUAUGUGAAUGGAAUAAGGAAUUAGGGGCCUUGAAAUGCAGCAAUACUGAGCACAACUCGAGUAUAUUUUAAUAAAGUAGAAGGAGGUAUGGGUGAUACAAUGAGAAAUUCCACAGUGAGGGCAGAAAGAGCCUCAGGCAAACAGCAGGUAAUGCAGGAGUUCAAGGGAUUAAUAAAUGAUGACUGCCUAUGGUCU